This 6244-nucleotide long non-coding RNA is filed under the name Gossypium barbadense (sea-island cotton). RNAcentral's name for it is "long non-coding RNA (GBAR_LNC017585)". Lineage: Eukaryota; Viridiplantae; Streptophyta; Magnoliopsida; Malvales; Malvaceae. The record is from RNAcentral.
UUUCUCUCUUAGUUUUCUCUCUUCUCCCAUUUGAGAAUUCUUAAGGAAUUCUAUUUGUUUGUAAUAUUUUGGAUAUAGUAAAGUUAUCAUCUGGUGUUAGUGCCCGAGGACGUAGGUAUAAUUUACCGAACCUCGUUAAAACUCUUAUGUUCUUUUUGUCCUAUUUUUCUUUCAAUAUUUGAGGGUAUAAUAGUAGUAUUUAAUUGUGCUAUUAAAUUACGUUAGAAGGAAUAUUCUGACUAAGGAAAGACUUGGUAUUUAAGAGAUCCUUGUGAUCCACCUCUCUUCCCUGGGAAUUGAACUUUGUGUGAUUUUUUAGUACAAUAAUUUACACGCUUCCGACCCUAUUGGAACAACAAGUGGUAUCAGAGCCGAAGGUUAAUCGUAGUAUGCUCUGUGGUUGCAGUUUAAACUGAUCUUCCACAUCAGAAAAGAUUUCCUUAGGUAUAUUGAAAGAUUAUGGAGAAAACGGUCGGUGUAGGAGCUUCAACAUCGUCCAUGUGGACAAGACCGACAAUUGCAAAUGCAAGAUUGGCCGUGGAGAUCUUUGAUGGCACGAGCCAUUUUGGUAUGUGGCAAAGUGAGGUUCUAGAUGCCCUUUUUUAGCAGGGUCUAGACAUUGCCAUUGAUGAAGAGAAACCAGAUGAUGUACAGGAGAAAGAUUGGAAGGCGAUCAAUCGGUUGGCAUGUGGCACAAUUCGACAUGCCUUUUCGAGAGCAGAGGUAUGCUUUUUCAAAGGAGACUUCUGCAAAUAAGUUGUGGGUGGCACUUGAAGAAAAAAUUUUGAAGAAAAACAGUCAAAAUAAGCUCCACUUGAAGAAAAGACUGUUUCGCUUCACAUACGUCCCAAGUACCACAAUGAAUGAUCACAUCACCAAAUUUAAUCAGUUAGUCACUGAUUUGCUGAAUAUGGAUGAGACAUUCAAAGAUGAAGAUUUGGCUUUGAUGCUGUUGGGGUCACUUCCUGAGGAGUUUGAGUUCCUAGAAACUACUCUACUUCAUGGCAGGAGUGAUAUAUCUCUGAGCGAAGUCUGUGCGGCAUUAUACAGUUAUGAACAGAGAAAGAAGGACAAACAGAAAAACUCAAUCAGAGAUACAGAAGCUUUAGUAGUCCGAGGUCGUUCAUACACUCAGAAGAAAACUCAAAAGGGGAGAUCAAAGUCAAAGUCCAGACUCGGGAAAGAUGAAUGUACUUUUUGUCAUGAGAAAGGCCACUGGAAGAAAAAUUGUCCAAAGCUGAAGAAUAAGGGAAAAGCUGCUGUAGAUACUUGUGUUGCAAAGCAUGAUACUAGUGACUCUGAACUAUCACUGGUUGCAUCAUCAUCGUCGUUCCAUUCAGAUGAGUGGAUAUUGGAUUCGGGUUGUACCUUUCAUAUUCCCCUAACCGGGAGUGGUUCUCUGAUUUAGUAGAACUAAAUGGAGGAGUUGUUUAUAUGGGCAAUGACAAUGCCUGUAAAACUGUUGGGAUAGGUUCAAUCCAAUUAAAGAAUCAAGAUGGAUCAACCAGAGUUCUGACUAAUGUUCGGUACGUGCCCAGUUUGAAGAAAAAUCUCAUCUCAUUGGGAGCCUUGGAAUCCAAUGGUUCAGUUGUUACUAUGAGAGAUGGGGUUUUAAAAGUGACAUCUGGCGCACUUGUGAUAUUGAAGGGCAUCAGGAAAAAUAACUUGUAUUACUACCAAGGUAGUACAGUUAUUGGAGCAGUCGCUGCAACUUCCGGCAACAAAGAAUUGGACUCAAUACAGUUGUGGCAUAUGAAGUUGGGACAUGCCAGCGAAAAAUCCUUGCAAAUUCUGGCAAAGCAAGGAUUGUUGAAAGGUGCAAUGGCUUACAAAUUAAAAUUUUGCGAGCAUUGUGUUCUGGGAAAGCAAAAGAGAGUGAAAUUCGGUACUGCUAUCCAUAAUACAAAAGGUAUUUUAGAAUAUGUUCACUCAGAUGUGUGGGGGCCUUCCAAGACACCUUCAUUGGGAGGAAAACACUACUUUGUUACUUUUGUUGAUGACUUUUCCAGAAGAGUUUGGGUGUAUACCAUGAGAACUAAGGAUGAAGUGCUUAGAGUUUUUCUUAAAUGGAAAACUAUGAUCGAAAACCAGACUGGCAAGAAAAUCAAGCGGCUUAGGACGGACAAUGGAGGGGAAUAUAAAAGUGAUCCGUUCUUCGAUGUGUGCCAAGAGUAUGGUAUUGUUCGACACUUCACAGUUAGGGAUACACCACAGCAGAAUGGAUUGGCAGAGCGUAUGAAUCGAACAUUGCUGGAGAAAGUUCGAUGUAUGUUGUCCAAUGCUGGGUUGGGCAAGCAAUUUUGGGCUGAGGCUGUGACAUACGCUGGCCAUCUUGUUAAUCGUUUGCCAUCAUCUGCAUUAGAAAGAAAAACUCCUAUGGAGGUAUGGUCUGGAAAACCGGCUACAGAUUAUGAUUCCUUACAUGUGUUUGGAUCCACUGCAUAUUACCAUGUGAAAGAGUCAAAGUUAGAUCCGAGGGCAAAGAAAGCUCUCUUUAUGGAAAUCACUUCUGGAGUGAAGGGAUUUCGUCUUUGGUGCUUAAGCACAAAGAAAAUGAUCUGUAGCAGAGAUGUUACCUUUGAUGAACCUGCCACAUUGAAAAAGGUAGCAGAUAAAGAUAUUCAGACGAGCAAUACUCCACAACAGGUGGAGUGUACUCCAAAACAGGUGGAGUUUGAGCAGAUGGGGAUUUACCCAGUUAAUAAGUCUAAUUCUCCAGCCAUAAUGGAGGAAUUAGAGGUUGAAGAGGUUCUGACCCAAGAACCACUAAGUACACCAGAACCAGUUGCAGUUGCAAGGCCACGGAGAGAAAUUCGUAAACCUGCUCGAUUUACUGAUAUGGUGGCCUACGCCCUUCCCGUUGUUGAUGAUAUUCCUAUCACUUAUCAAGAAGUAAUGCAAAGCUUAGAAAGUGAUAAAUGGAAAAGCGCCAUAGAUGAAGAAAUGCAGUCUCUCCUGAAGAACAAUACUUGGGAAUUGGCGCAAUUACCGAAAGGUAAAAGGGCAAUCGGAUGCAAGUGGGUAUUCGCAAAGAAAGAUGGAUCUCCUAGCAAGAAGGAUAUUCGCUACAAGGCAAGAUUGGUAGCUAAAGGCUACGCUCAGAAGGAGGGAAUUGACUACAAUGAUGUAUUUUCCCCUGUUGUGAAGCAUUCCUCCAUUAGAAUUUUGUUGGCCUUGGUAGCACAGUUGAAUUUGGAGCUAGCUCAACUUGAUGUUAAGACGGCUUUCUUGCAUGGUGAGUUAGAAGAGGAGAUCUAUAUGACUCAGCCCGAAGGAUACACAGAUGAUGGUGGUAGAAAUUGGGUUUGUAAGCUGAACAAAUCGCUAUAUGGAUUGAAGCAAUCCCCGAGGCAGUGGUACAAGCGAUUUGAUAGUUUUAUGAGAAGGCAGAAGUACACAAGAAGCAAAUAUGACAAUUGUGUAUAUUUGCAGAAGCUGCAUGACGGAUCUUUCAUUUAUCUACUCUUGUAUGUUGAUGAUAUGUUAAUCGCUUCGAAGAGCCAAAAUGAGAUAGAUAAGCUGAAGGCUCAGUUGAAUCAAGAGUUCGAGAUGAAAGAUCUAGGUAAGGCCAAGAAGAUUCUCGGCAUGGAGAUAAGUAGAGAUAGACAGAGAGGCAAGCUUUGUUUGAAUCAGAAGCAAUAUCUGAAAAAGGUAUUACAAUGUUUUGGUGUAAAUGAAAACACAAAACAUGUAAGUACCCCACUUGCUUCUCAUUUGAAACUUAAUGCUCAAUUAUCUCCGAAAACUGAAGAAGAAAGAGAAUAUAUGGAAAAAGUCCCAUAUGCUAAUGCAGUUGGGAGUUUGAUGUAUGCGAUGGUGUGUACGAGGCCUGACAUUUCACAAGCUGUUGGAGUUGUGAGCAGGUAUAUGCAUGAUCCUGGAAAAGAACAUUGGCAAGCUGUGAAAUGGAUUCUACGGUAUCUUCGAAAAACCGUAGAUGUUGGUUUAAUUUUUGAGCAGGAUGAAGCACUUGGUCAGUUUGUAGUUGGAUAUGUUGAUUCCGACUUUGCUGGUGAUUUAGAUAAACGUCGUUCAACUACGGGGUAUCUGUUUACUCUUGCGAAAGCCCCAGUGAGUUGGAAGUCUACCUUACAGUCUACAGUAGCUGUGUCUACUACAGAGGCAGAAUAUAUGGCAGUUACAGAAGCUGUUAAGGAGGCUAUUUGGCUUAAUGGAUUGUUGAAAGACUUAGGAGUUGUUCAAAGUCACAUAAGUUUAUAUUGUGACAGUCAGAGCGCUAUUCAUUUAGCGAAAAAUCAAGUCUAUCAUUCAAGAACCAAGCAUAUCGACGUAAGAUAUCACUUUGUGCGGGAAGUCUUUGAAAAAGGAAAAAUUCUACUUCAGAAGAUUCCGACAGCAGAUAAUCCCGCAGAUAUGAUGACCAAGGUGGUAACAACAAUCAAGUUUAAUCAUUGUUUGAACUUGAUUAACAUCCUGAGAAUUUGAGCACCUUUAGGUGUAUGACGCUCGAGAGCGCAUUUGGAGGCACUACAAAAGAUAGCUUUAUCGAAUUUGGGGAGUUGAAGGAAGUAUGUGAAGAUGUGAUUAUCCUAAUCAAAUCUUCAAGGUGGAGAUUGUUGAAAAGACAAAUUAAAAGGGGUGUUGAAAAGUCAAAAAAAUGGGAGGUGCAAGUGGCACCGAAAGAAAAAAAUGGUAGGCAAGUUGUUUAAAGUUGAAUGGGAUAAUUGCAAUUUUGGUCCCUAAUUUUUUAGGCCAUUUGCAAGUUAGUCCCUGAACCUCAACUAUAAAUAGGCCUAACCAUUUCUCAUUUACACUAUCCCAACCAAUCUUUCUCUCUUAGUUUUCUCUCUUCUCCCAUUUGAGAAUUCUUAAGGAAUUCUAUUUGUUUGUAAUAUUUUGGAUAUAGUAAAGUUAUCAUCUGGUGUUAGUGCCCGAGGACGUAGGUAUAAUUUACCGAACCUCAUUAAAACUCUUAUGUUCUUUUUGUCCUAUUUUUCUUUCAAUAUUUGAGGGUAUAAUAGUAGUAUUUAAUUGUGCUAUUAAAUUACGUUAGAAGGAAUAUUCUGACUAAGGAAAGACUUGGUAUUUAAGAGAUCCUUGUGAUCCACCUCUCUUCCCUGGGAAUUGAACUUUGUGUGAUUUUUUAGUACAAUAAUUUACACGCUUCCGACCCUAUUGGAACAACAUGUGUAACUAUAUGUAAAUAAAAAAAGAGUUUGAUAAGCAAUUAACCUCUACUUUUUUUAAGAACAUUGGAAGCAAUGCGACGGCAAAGAAUUUCAUGGCAUUUGGAGGAGGCAAUAGAACAUGUGCGGGAGCAGAGUUCAGCAAGGUCCUGAUGGCUAUAUUUUUACACGUUUUGGUAACCAAGUACAGGUAUAUUGAUUAAUAUGUUAUGCAAGAAACUAUAUGUACAUAUAUAGAUGAUAAAAUUGAGAAUAAAAGAGUAUGUAAAUUUGGGUUAGGUGGAAAAAGAUGAAGGGGGGAGAUGUGGUUCGUGCACCCACUCUGGGAUUUGCCGACGGUUUCACCAUUAGUGUUUUGGAAAAGCAAGCGUAACUUGUUACGCUCAAAUGUUGAAGAAUAAGGUUGACGCGCUGGAUUUGUCUUCAAACCCAACUUCUGUGUUCCUACUUUCUGUCUCAUAUACGGUACUCAACUCCAUGAUUAUUGUAUACUUAUCAACACUUGCCGUUGAUUUUCACCAUGUAAUAAUCCUUCGCUAUAAAUAAUAAAUGUGACGUCAAAGAAUCUCCUCUAAGAUGCGAAAAAAACAAGAGACAAGCAAACCAAAAUCUCUCCCUUCACAAAAUUGUCUAUUUCAAGAUUUACGGAUGAGUGCCGAAUCCACUAAAAUGUCUAAAAUAAAAUUUAAAUUCAUAGUAAAGAACUAUGGAUGCGUCGUGAAUAAUUUUGUGCUCAAGACUUGUGUAAACCUGCAUAAAUAAAUAAAUAAAAAAGUUUAAAAUAUAACGAAACUAUACAAAUAAAACCGAAAUAAAUGUAAAACAUAAUAUAAAAAUUCAAAAUACAAGUAGAUUGAACCAAAAGGAUAAAAACUCCAGCCUCAAACGUAACUUCACUUUUUGAGUUGUGAACUGAUCACGGGUAAUGGAGACAUUAACUCAAAAGAAGUGGCUCGAUUGGAAAAGUUGGUUGCAUAUUGGAAGGAGCAAGCCGAUAGGAUUACGAAGACAUUCAAGAUGAGCAGAGAAGUAAAGUCCAUGCUUUGUGAAUUGAGAUUGAAGUAGAAUCUUCUUGAAAACAAGGAGCUUGACAUUGA